RNAcentral lists this ribosomal RNA (116 nucleotides) under Streptococcus suis. Lineage: Bacteria; Bacillati; Bacillota; Bacilli; Lactobacillales; Streptococcaceae. RNAcentral also lists the same sequence under 2 other names. The record is from RNAcentral.
UUAAGUGACGAUAGCCUAGGAGAUACACCUGUACCCAUGCCGAACACAGCAGUUAAGCCCUAGAACGCCUGAAGUAGUUGGGGGUUGCCCCCUGUUAGAUAUGGUAGUCGCUUAGC